RNAcentral lists this ribosomal RNA (462 nucleotides) under uncultured bacterium. RNAcentral describes it as "bacterial SSU rRNA". It matches the Rfam family "Bacterial small subunit ribosomal RNA", at positions 29 to 506 of the family's 1533-position model. The record is from RNAcentral.
AUUAAUGCUGGCGGCGUGUCUAAGGCAUGCAAGUUGAUCGAAUUUAUUGCGAUUACAUCAAGAUAAGUGAGAAGCAAACGGGCGAGUAACACAUUGGUAACCUGCCUCGUACACGGGUACAACCUUUCGAAAGAGAGGCUAAUCCCCGAUAGUCAGAGCGGACGCGUGUCUGUUCUGUAAAGCUCCGGCGGUACGAGAGGGGCCUAUGUUCUAUCAGCUAGUUGGCGGGGUAAUAGCCCACCAAGGCAAUGACAGAUAGCAGGCGUGAGAGCGCGACCUGCCCCACUGGGACUGAGACACUGCCCAGACUCCUACGGGAGGCUGCAGUCGAGAAUCUUCCGCAAUGGCCGAAAGGCUGACGGAGCGACGCCGCGUGAUGGAUGAAGGGCUUCGGCUUGUAAACAUCUUUUUUAAGGGACGAACGUUGACGGUACCUUAAGAAUAAGGGGUUGCUAACUCUGU